AUUGAACGCUGGCGGCAUGCCUUACACAUGCAAGUCGAACGGCAGCACGGGUGCUUGCACCUGGUGGCGAGUGGCGAACGGGUGAGUAAUAUAUCGGAACGUACCUUAUUGUGGGGGAUAACGCAGCGAAAGCUGUGCUAAUACCGCAUAAUCCCUAAGGGGGAAAGCGGGGGACCGUAAGGCCUCGCGCAAUUAGAGCGGCCGAUACCUGAUUAGCUAGUUGGGUAGGUAAAGGCUCACCAAGGCAACGAUCAGUAGCUGGUCUGAGAGGACGAUCAGCCACACUGGGACUGAGACACGGCCCAGACUCCUACGGGAGGCAGCAGUGGGGAAUUUUGGACAAUGGGGGCAACCCUGAUCCAGCAAUGCCGCGUGAGUGAAGAAGGCCUUCGGGUUGUAAAGCUCUUUUGUCAGGGAAGAAACAGCAGCUCUAACACAGUUUGCGAAUGACGGUACCUGAAGAAUAUGCACCGGCUAACUACGUGCCAGCCGCCGCCGUAA
RNAcentral lists this ribosomal RNA (501 nucleotides) under uncultured bacterium. RNAcentral's name for it is "partial 16S ribosomal RNA". It matches the Rfam family "Bacterial small subunit ribosomal RNA", at positions 30 to 523 of the family's 1533-position model. The record is from RNAcentral.